Molecule: ribosomal RNA, 523 nt
Filed under: uncultured Hanseniaspora
Lineage: Eukaryota; Fungi; Ascomycota; Saccharomycetes; Saccharomycodales; Saccharomycodaceae
Description: eukaryotic LSU rRNA
Rfam family: Eukaryotic large subunit ribosomal RNA
Source: RNAcentral
AAACCAACUGGGAUUACCUUAGUAACGGCGAGUGAAGCGGUAAAAGCUCAAAUUUGAAAUCUGGUACUUUCAGUGCCCGAGUUGUAAUUUGUAGAAUUUGUCUUUGAUUAGGUCCUUGUCUAUGUUCCUUGGAACAGGACGUCAUAGAGGGUGAGAAUCCCGUUUGGCGAGGAUACCUUUUCUCUGUAAGACUUUUUCGAAGAGUCGAGUUGUUUGGGAAUGCAGCUCAAAGUGGGUGGUAAAUUCCAUCUAAAGCUAAAUAUUGGCGAGAGACCGAUAGCGAACAAGUACAGUGAUGGAAAGAUGAAAAGAACUUUGAAAAGAGAGUGAAAAAGUACGUGAAAUUGUUGAAAGGGAAGGGCAUUUGAUCAGACAUGGUGUUUUUGCAUGCACUCGCCUCUCGUGGGCUUGGGCCUCUCAAAAUUUCACUGGGGCAACAUCAAUUUUGGCGGCAGGAAAAUCUUUGGAAUGUAGCUACCUCGGUAGUGUUAUAGCCUUUUGAAAUACUGUCAGCUGGGAUUGA